UACGUAGGCAGCAAGCGUUGUUCGGAAUUACUGGGCGUAAAGCGCGCGCAGGCGGCACUCUAAGUACGCUGUGAAAUAUCCCGGCUCAACCGGGAGGGUGCAGUGUAGACUAGGGAGCUAGAGGUCGGUAGAGGGGGGUGGAAUUGCUGGUGUAGCGGUGAAAUGCGUAGAGAUCAGCAGGAACACCCGUGGCGAAGGCGGCCCCCUGGGCCGUACCUGACGCUGAGGCGCGAAGGCUAGGGGAGCGAACGGG
This 253-nucleotide ribosomal RNA is filed under the name uncultured bacterium. RNAcentral's name for it is "partial 16S ribosomal RNA". It matches the Rfam family "Bacterial small subunit ribosomal RNA", at positions 524 to 776 of the family's 1533-position model. The record is from RNAcentral.